Molecule: ribosomal RNA, 469 nt
Filed under: uncultured organism
Description: partial 16S ribosomal RNA
Rfam family: Bacterial small subunit ribosomal RNA
Source: RNAcentral
CACUCCUACGGGAGGCAGCAGUGAGGAAUAUUGGACCAUGGGUGGAAGCCUGAUCCAGCCAUCCCGCGUGCAGGAAGACGGCCCUAUGGGUUGUAAACUGCUUUUAUCUGGGGAUAAACCUACUUACGUGUAAGUAGCUGAAGGUACCAGAAGAAUAAGCACCGGCUAACUCCGUGCCAGCAGCCGCGGUAAUACGGAGGGUGCAAGCGUUAUCCGGAUUUAUUGGGUUUAAAGGGUCCGUAGGCGGACUGAUAAGUCAGUGGUGAAAUCCGACAGCUUAACUGUCGAACUGCCAUUGAUACUGUUAGUCUUGAGUAAGGUUGAAGUGGCUGGAAUAAGUAGUGUAGCGGUGAAAUGCAUAGAUAUUACUUAGAACACCAAUUGCGAAGGCAGGUCACUAAGUCUUAACUGACGCUGAUGGACGAAAGCGUGGGGAGCGAACAGGAUUAGAAACCCUAGUAGUCCCAUG